This 195-nucleotide small nuclear RNA is filed under the name Gigantopelta aegis. RNAcentral's name for it is "U2 spliceosomal RNA". It matches the Rfam family "U2 spliceosomal RNA". From Rfam's summary of the family: U2 is a small nuclear RNA (snRNA) component of the spliceosome (involved in pre-mRNA splicing). The record is from RNAcentral. Lineage: Eukaryota; Metazoa; Mollusca; Gastropoda; Neomphalida; Peltospiridae.
AUCGCUUCUCGCCUUUCUGGCUAAGAUCAAAGUGUAGUAUCUGUUCUUAUCAGCUUAAUAUCUGAUACGUCCUCCAUUGGGGGACAAUCGAUAUUAAAAACUGAUUUUUGAAAGGGGGUGAGGUGCCCGGGGCUUGCUCCGCCCUCACCACGGGUUGACCCGGUAUUGCAGUACUUCCGGAAUGGCCCACCACUA